AUUCAGACACACGUGACAUUUCUGCCAAGGGCCCAAACGCAAUCCCUGAGGUCCUGGAGAAAAAUCAAUGAGACCACACAUGACAGAAGAAAAACAAAAAGAGAAGCAGCCACAGAAAAUCAACAUGAAACGAGUCAAAGGAUCCAUUGAUGGCUCCAUCGCUCCUCUGUGGGCUCCUGCUGCGGGUCGAGUCCCGGCGGGUGUGAAGCUUCAUCCCACAUCUGACUGCUGGACCGCUGGAUGAAGGAUCAGUCAUUCCUCCGGUGACAGAUCGAUGAGUGUUACAGAGGACAGCGGGUCAGAGGUCAUCUGCUCAUGUGAUUUGAAUGACAGGAGUGCUGUGUAUAGAUAAAAGGCUGUACUUAGAGCAGCGCUGUUUAGUGACUGGGAGAAUCAGGCUGUUUAAGGCCAUGUCUGAUGCUAAACCGUGUAGAAAGGAGUGUGGAAAAGAAGUGGCCAUCUGGAUGACAGGCAACCGGUCAGGAACAGCCUAAAGGUCAGUGUGCUCAUUACAGCCUGAUUUCAAAAGAGCAGGCAUUUUUACUAAACAACUGGUAAAAGAUAUAUUGCUUAUUUGAAAAGACAAUGAUGUGAUUUUAACUCAGCAGCAUAAUCUAGUUACAGAAUGUUGGCUUCCUUUAAAAGAAAGUCCUGUUUGCUUAUUAUAAACAGAGAUUUUCUAUCAGCAAACAGAUUUGUGCUCUCUCUUCAGUAAAUAAAUUACUGUGCAAGAAAUAUUUACUUCAAAAUGCAGGGAAGGGUCAGAAAUUACAGCACAUAAAUCAUACAUUCAUCCCCUUUAAGUCUGGCUAGAAAAAUUCGAGAUUUCUCUGUGCCUGACGGGUCAAUAAGCAAGAG
Cyprinus carpio (common carp) is the source of this 858-nucleotide long non-coding RNA. RefSeq lists it as uncharacterized. The transcript has 3 exons. NCBI's taxonomy places the organism in Eukaryota, Metazoa, Chordata, Actinopteri, Cypriniformes, Cyprinidae. The record is from RefSeq and is a predicted model, not a curated record.